RNAcentral lists this ribosomal RNA (449 nucleotides) under uncultured bacterium. RNAcentral's name for it is "partial 16S ribosomal RNA". It matches the Rfam family "Bacterial small subunit ribosomal RNA", at positions 29 to 523 of the family's 1533-position model. The record is from RNAcentral.
AACGAACGCUGGCGGCAGGCUUAACACAUGCAAGUCGAACGCAUCCUUCGGGGUGAGUGGCAGACGGGUGAGUAACGCGUGGGAACGUGCCCUUCAGUUCGGGAUAACCCAGGGAAACUUGGGCUAAUACCGGAUACGUGCGAGAGCAGAAAGAUUUAUCGCUGAAGGAUCGGCCCGCGUCUGAUUAGCUAGUUGGUGAGGUAAUGGCUCACCAAGGCGACGAUCAGUAGCUGGUCUGAUAGGAUGAUCAGCCACACUGGGACUGAGACACGGCCCAGGCUCCUCCGGGGGGCAGCAGUGGGGAAUAUUGGACAAUGGGCGCAAGCCUGAUCCAGCCAUGCCGCGUGAGUGAUGAAGGCCUUAGGGUUGUAAAGCUCUUUCGGCGGGGACGAUAAUGACGGUACCCGCAGAAGAAGCCCCGGCUAACUUCGUGCCAGCCGCCGCCGUAA